RNAcentral lists this long non-coding RNA (901 nucleotides) under Ananas comosus (pineapple). Its description in RNAcentral is "long non-coding RNA (ACOM_LNC030508)". Lineage: Eukaryota; Viridiplantae; Streptophyta; Magnoliopsida; Poales; Bromeliaceae. The record is from RNAcentral.
GAAUGUUUGCGUUGGGGGACUUCGGUCGUAAUUUUGGCUAGUCAGGGGAUUUGGAGGCGAUUAUUAUGUUUUAUAUAUAUAUAUAUCUAUAUAUGUAGAGCUACUAUGCUAUCAGAAGCAUAAGGGAGUUGGUGCUUUCGAUUUUUUAGCCCUUGGAUCAAAGAUUGUACGGUUAGGAUGAUAAUGGUCCCUCUAGGGUUGAAUGGUCCCCAUAGGGUUGAAUGGUCCCCAUUGGGUAAUAAUAUUAAUCCAAUGGUUAAAAAUGAUCAUGGGGGUUGAUCCAAGGGCUAAAAAAUCGAAAGCACCAACUACCUUAUGCUUCCGAUAGCAUAAUAGCUCUCUCUCUCUCUCUCUUUCUCUCUCUCUCUCUCUCUCUCUCUCUAUAUAUAUAUAUAUAUAUCUAUUAAUCUAUUAAACUAUAUGAAUCCUCAAUAAUUUUGCCACGCGGCAGUCUAUCCUUCACCCUCACUUGCCUCUCUUUUGAACCAAACGACUUAUCCGACCCGAAAUGUUUUUUUUUUCUGAACCGGACCACUCCUCUCCUCUCCCUCACCUGUCCCUUUUUUGAACCGCCCCCGAACCGAACCGCCGCUCUCUCCUCUAUGUAUUGUUAAUACAAUUCUCUGAAUCGAACAUGCCUAUGAACCGGACCGUUAUUUUUUCUGUGAACCGAACUGCCACUAUCUUCUCUCCGCGUUUUUGUACGAAUCGUUUCCUCUCCUCUCUCGGCAGCGUGUUCUUUUUCUCUCCUCUCCCCCGCGCGUUCCCUCUUCCCUCACCAUUUCGAUACGACAUUCCCUCUUCUCUCUCCGUCGCAUCAUCCCUCUCCUCUUUCCGUUUCAUAGGAGGGAUCCGAAUCUCAUCAAGAAUCUCAUCAAAUUUGUCGUUUGAUUUGUUGUUG